GUCCUUUUGAUUAUAAUUUAAGGUCUAGCCUGCCCAAUGAUGUAAAUUUAAUGGCCGCAGUAUACUGACUGUGCAAAGGUAGCAUAAUCAUUAGUUUUUUAAUUGGAAGCUUGUAUGAAAGGUUUGAUGAAAAAAAAAUUGUCUCUAGGUAAAGGUUUUGAAAUUUAUUUUUAAGUUAAAAAGCUUAAAUUAAUAUUGAAGACGAGAAGACCCUAUAGAGUUUUAUUUAUAUUAGUAAUAAAUUAAGUUUUAGAAUUUUAAAUUUGUAUUAUUAAGUAAAUUUAGUUGGGGUGAUUGAAAAAUUUAUUAAACUUUUUUUUUAUUUGAACAUUUAUUUAUGAGUUUAUGAUCCUUUUUAAGAUUAUAAGAUAAAAUUACCUUAGGGAUAACAGCGUAAUUUUUUUUAGAGUUCUUAUCGAAAAAAAAGAUUGCGACCUCGAUGUUGGAUUAAAAUUAAAUUUUUGGUGUAGAAGCUAAAAAAUUAGGUCUGUUCGACCUUUAAAUUUUUACAUGAUCUGAGUUUAAACCGGCGUAAG
RNAcentral lists this ribosomal RNA (536 nucleotides) under Kyklioacalles navieresi. Its description in RNAcentral is "partial 16S ribosomal RNA". It matches the Rfam family "Bacterial large subunit ribosomal RNA", at positions 1819 to 2625 of the family's 2925-position model. Lineage: Eukaryota; Metazoa; Arthropoda; Insecta; Coleoptera; Curculionidae. The record is from RNAcentral.